GUUCAUCUGAUCAUCUGUGAAUCCAGGUGUUCAGAGCCUCCUGAUAUGUUAUUCAGGUAGUGUCCAGCUGUGUGUGUGGGUUUGUGUGUAUAUGUGCUGCAUGUGUGUACAUGGAUGUACACACAGCUAUACAGACAGUGUGUAUAUACAUAUGUAUACAUCUAUGUGUAUAUAUACAGAGAACUGAUUCUAUUUAUUCCUUCUGCCUCCUAAUCCAAAUAUGGAGUUUUGUAUAUUUUGGGUGGAAGAAGACAUAGGAGGGGAUAUGUUGUCACUUAAAACUUGUCUAGUGUAUGGAUUGGACCAAAUACUAGAAGAGGACCAGAGUUCAGUUCCCAGCACCCUCGUCGGGCAACUCAAAACCACCUGUAACUCCAGCUCCAAAGGAUCCAAUGCCCUCUUCUGGCCUCCAAAGGCACCUGACCAUGUGUGGCAUACAUACACUUAAAUAAAAGUAAAUUUUUAAAG
Molecule: long non-coding RNA, 468 nt
Filed under: Rattus norvegicus (Norway rat)
Lineage: Eukaryota; Metazoa; Chordata; Mammalia; Rodentia; Muridae
Description: long non-coding RNA NONRATT030083
Source: RNAcentral